RNAcentral lists this ribosomal RNA (253 nucleotides) under uncultured bacterium. RNAcentral describes it as "partial 16S ribosomal RNA". It matches the Rfam family "Bacterial small subunit ribosomal RNA", at positions 524 to 776 of the family's 1533-position model. The record is from RNAcentral.
UACGGAGGGUGCGAGCGUUAAUCGGAAUUACUGGGCGUAAAGGGUGCGUAGGUGGUUGUAUAAGUUAUCUGUGAAAUACCUGGGCUCAACCUGGGAGUGUCAGAUGAUACUGUACGACUCGAGUACGGGAGAGGGUAGUGGAAUUUCCGGUGUAGCGGUGAAAUGCGUAGAGAUCGGAAGGAACACCGGUGGCGAAGGCGGCUACCUGGCCUGCUACUGACACUGAGGCACGAAAGCGUGGGGAGCAAACAGG